CUACACACGUGCUACAAUGGGUGGUACAAAGAGAAGCAAACUCGCGAGAGCAAGCCAAUCUCAAAAAGCCAUCCUCAGUUCGGAUUGGAGUCUGCAACUCGACCCCAUGAAGUCGGAAUCGCUAGUAAUCGCGGAUCAGCAUGCCGCGGUCGAAUACGUUCCCGGGCCUU
This 170-nucleotide ribosomal RNA is filed under the name uncultured Syntrophaceae bacterium. RNAcentral's name for it is "partial 16S ribosomal RNA". It matches the Rfam family "Bacterial small subunit ribosomal RNA", at positions 1214 to 1382 of the family's 1533-position model. Lineage: Bacteria; Pseudomonadati; Thermodesulfobacteriota; Syntrophia; Syntrophales; Syntrophaceae. The record is from RNAcentral.